UACGUAGGGUGCAAGCGUUAAUCGGAAUUACUGGGCGUAAAGCGUGCGCAGGCGGCUAUGCAAGACAGAUGUGAAAUCCCCGGGCUCAACCUGGGAACUGCAUUUGUGACUGCACAGCUGGAGUGCGGCAGAGGGGGAUGGAAUUCCGCGUGUAGCAGUGAAAUGCGUAGAUAUGCGGAGGAACACCGAUGGCGAAGGCAAUCCCCUGGGCCUGCACUGACGCUCAUGCACGAAAGCGUGGGGAGCAAACAGG
Molecule: ribosomal RNA, 253 nt
Filed under: uncultured bacterium
Lineage: Bacteria
Description: partial 16S ribosomal RNA
Rfam family: Bacterial small subunit ribosomal RNA
Source: RNAcentral